AAAACAUAUACGAACGUUUACCAACACUGGAUAACAUAUGUUUCAUUUUUUACAACAAAACAAAAAAAAAUUGGUAUAGUAAAAACAGCGGGGCUUAACUGCGAUCCGUAUGUCGGGCGGUCGCACGAGCAAGGUUUCCCCCCCUGUUUGCCAAUGGUCUACUGCGGAUUGGCAAUCCCCACUACUAUAAGAAAAGUAGACCAUUCCG
Lucilia sericata (common green bottle fly) is the source of this 208-nucleotide long non-coding RNA. RefSeq lists it as uncharacterized. The record is from RefSeq and is a predicted model, not a curated record. Lineage: Eukaryota; Metazoa; Arthropoda; Insecta; Diptera; Calliphoridae. The transcript has 2 exons.